GGGAGUUCCCCUUUCAUUCGGAUCGUCCGGCACGUACCUGUCGGUGAAAGACGCGAGGUAAUA
This is a non-coding RNA of Dietzia timorensis, 63 nucleotides long. The record is from Rfam. Lineage: Bacteria; Bacillati; Actinomycetota; Actinomycetes; Mycobacteriales; Dietziaceae.